AAAGAGUCCCUCCCGACUGUUUACCAAAAACACAGCACUUUGCCAACUCGUAAGAGGAAGUAUAAGGUGUGACGCCUGCCCGGUGCUCGAAGGUUAAGAGGAUGCGUCAGUCGCAAGAUGAAGCGUUGAAUUGAAGCCCGAGUAAACGGCGGCCGUAACUAUAACGGUCCUAAGGUAGCGAAAUUCCUUGUCGGUUAAAUACCGACCUGCAUGAAUGGCGUAACGAGAUGGGAGCUGUCUCAACCAGAGAUUCAGUGAAAUUGUAGUGGAGGUGAAAAUUCCUCCUACCCGCGGCAAGACGGAAAGACCCCGUGGACCUUUACUACAACUUAGCACUGCUAAUGGGAAUAUCAUGCGCAGGAUAGGUGGGAGGCUUUGAAGUAAGGGCUUUGGCUCUUAUGGAGCCAUCCUUGAGAUACCACCCUUGAUGUUUCUGUUAGCUAACUGGCCUGUGUUAUCCACAGGCAGGACAAUGCUUGGUGGGUAGUUUGACUGGGGCGGUC
Molecule: ribosomal RNA, 503 nt
Filed under: Helicobacter pylori
Lineage: Bacteria; Pseudomonadati; Campylobacterota; Epsilonproteobacteria; Campylobacterales; Helicobacteraceae
Description: bacterial LSU rRNA
Rfam family: Bacterial large subunit ribosomal RNA
Source: RNAcentral